CUGCGAAAGGAGAAGCUGUCCACGAUGCAUUCACGUGAUCCUUCCUUCCCUUGAAAUAAAACAAAAAUGAAGGGUCUUAUAAGCUAGCUGUCGACGACUGAGACCGAUCAGACCUUCAUCGACGACGCAACUUUGAAAGGAUAUUGCUUCUGUACAAGGAUGAAGUCAAGCAAGACUCUGGUAAUUUGUAACAUAUCUUUCGUUAGUUGAAUAAAAGAGUAGUAAAAUAAUGUGCUGAAAUAAAAAAGGAAUAUAUACA
Long non-coding RNA from Ornithodoros turicata, 259 nucleotides. RefSeq lists it as uncharacterized. The record is from RefSeq and is a predicted model, not a curated record. NCBI's taxonomy places the organism in Eukaryota, Metazoa, Arthropoda, Arachnida, Ixodida, Argasidae. The transcript is spliced from 2 exons.